AGCCUGCAACUCGGCUGCAUGAAGCUGGAAUCGCUAGUAAUCGCAGAUCAGAAUGCUGCGGUGAAUACGUUCCCGGGUCUUGUACACACCGCCCGUCACACCAUGGGAGUUGGAAAUGCCCGAAGUCAGUGACCGAACCGAAAGGAAGGAGCUGCCGAAGGUGGAGCCGAUGACUGGGGUGAAGUCGUAACAAGGUAAC
RNAcentral lists this ribosomal RNA (199 nucleotides) under uncultured bacterium. RNAcentral's name for it is "partial 16S ribosomal RNA". It matches the Rfam family "Bacterial small subunit ribosomal RNA", at positions 1302 to 1500 of the family's 1533-position model. The record is from RNAcentral.